This 765-nucleotide ribosomal RNA is filed under the name uncultured Geobacter sp. Its description in RNAcentral is "bacterial SSU rRNA". It matches the Rfam family "Bacterial small subunit ribosomal RNA", at positions 61 to 803 of the family's 1533-position model. Lineage: Bacteria; Pseudomonadati; Thermodesulfobacteriota; Desulfuromonadia; Geobacterales; Geobacteraceae. The record is from RNAcentral.
GUCGAACGGAGUGAAAGAGCUUGCUCUUUCAUUUAGUGGCGCACGGGUGAGUAACGCGUAGAUAAUCUGCCUUAGACUCUGGGAUAACAUCUCGAAAGGGGUGCUAAUACCUGAUAAGCCCACGAUGGCGAAAGUCGUUGCGGGAAAAGGGGGCCUCUGUAUAUGCUCUUGAUCUAAGAUGAGUCUGCGUACCAUUAGCUAGUUGGUAGGGUAAGAGCCUACCAAGGCUACGAUGGUUAGCUGGUCUGAGAGGAUGAUCAGCCACACUGGAACUGAGACACGGUCCAGACUCCUACGGGAGGCAGCAGUGGGGAAUUUUGCGCAAUGGGGGAAACCCUGACGCAGCAACGCCGCGUGAGUGAUGAAGGCUUUCGGGUCGUAAAGCUCUGUCUAGAGGGAAGAAAUGAUAUUCGGUUAAUACCCGGAUUUCUUGACGGUACCUCUGAAGGAAGCACCGGCUAACUCCGUGCCAGCAGCCGCGGUAAUACGGAGGGUGCAAGCGUUGUUCGGAUUUAUUGGGCGUAAAGCGCGUGUAGGCGGUUUGUUAAGUCUGAUGUGAAAGCCCUGGGCUCAACCUGGGAAGUGCAUUGGAAACUGGCAGACUUGAAUACGGGAGAGGGUAGUGGAAUUCCUGGUGUAGGAGUGAAAUCCGUAGAUAUCAGGAGGAACACCGGUGGCGAAGGCGGCUGCCUGGACCGAUAUUGACGCUGAGACGCGAAAGCGUGGGUAGCAAACAGGAUUAGAUACCCUGGUAGUCCACGCCGU